AGUGAACGCUGGCGGUAGGCCUAACACAUGCAAGUCGAACGGCAGCACAGUAAGAGCUUGCUCUUACGGGUGGCGAGUGGCGGACGGGUGAGGAAUACAUCGGAAUCUACUUUUUCGCGGGGGAUAACGUAGGGAAACUUACGCUAAUACCGCAUACGACCUACGGGUGAAAGCAGGGGAUCUUCGGACCUUGCGCGAUUGAAUGAGCCGAUGUCGGAUUAGCUAGUUGGCGGGGUAAAGGCCCACCAAGGCGACGAUCCGUAGCUGGUCUGAGAGGAUGAUCAGCCACACUGGAACUGAGACACGGUCCAGACUCCUACGGGAGGCAGCAGUGGGGAGUAGUGGACAAUGGGCGCAAGCCUGGUCCGACCAUACCGCGUGGGUGGAGAAGGCCUUCGGGUUGUAGAGCCCUUUUGUUGUGAAAGAAAAGCAGCGGGUUAAUACCCCGCUGUUCUGACGGUACCCAAAGAAUAAGCACCGGCUAACUUCGUG
RNAcentral lists this ribosomal RNA (492 nucleotides) under uncultured bacterium. Its description in RNAcentral is "partial 16S ribosomal RNA". It matches the Rfam family "Bacterial small subunit ribosomal RNA", at positions 29 to 507 of the family's 1533-position model. The record is from RNAcentral.